This 253-nucleotide ribosomal RNA is filed under the name uncultured bacterium. RNAcentral's name for it is "partial 16S ribosomal RNA". It matches the Rfam family "Bacterial small subunit ribosomal RNA", at positions 524 to 776 of the family's 1533-position model. The record is from RNAcentral.
UACGUAGGGUGCAAGCGUUAAUCGGAAUUACUGGGCGUAAAGCGUGCGCAGGCGGUUCGCUAAGACAGAUGUGAAAUCCCCGGGCUUAACCUGGGAACUGCAUUUGUGACUGGCGGGCUAGAGUAUGGCAGAGGGGGGUAGAAUUCCACGUGUAGCAGUGAAAUGCGUAGAGUUGUGGAGGAAUACCGAUGGCGAAGGCAGCCCCCUGGGCCAAUACUGACGCUCAUGCACGAAAGCGUGGGGAGCAAACAGG